Molecule: ribosomal RNA, 496 nt
Filed under: uncultured bacterium
Lineage: Bacteria
Description: partial 16S ribosomal RNA
Rfam family: Bacterial small subunit ribosomal RNA
Source: RNAcentral
GAUGAACGCUGGCGGCGUGCCUAAUACAUGCAAGUCGAGCGAACGGACGAGAAGCUUGCUUCUCUGAUGUUAGCGGCGGACGGGUGAGUAACACGUGGAUAACCUACCUAUAAGACUGGGAUAACUUCGGGAAACCGGAGCUAAUGCCGGAUAAUAUUUUGAACCGCAUGGUUCAAAAGUGAAAGACGGUCUUGCUGUCACUUAUAGAUGGAUCCGCGCUGCAUUAGCUAGUUGGUAAGGUAACGGCUUACCAAGGCAACGAUGCAUAGCCGACCUGAGAGGGUGAUCGGCCCCACUGGAACUGAGACCCGGUCCAGACUCUUACGGGAGGCAGCAGUAGGGAAUCUUCCGCAAUGGGCGAAAGCCUGACGGAGCAACGCCGCGUGAGUGAUGAAGGUCUUCGGAUCGUAAAACUCUGUUAUUAGGGAAGAACAUAUGUGUAAGUAACUGUGCACAUCUUGACGGUACCUAAUCAGAAAGCCACGGCUAACUACGU